GACGAACGCUGGCGGCGUGCUUAACACAUGCAAGUCGAGCGGUAAGGCCCUUUCGGGGGUACGACGAGCGGCGAACGGGUGAGUAACAUGUGGGUGACCUGCCCUCAGCUCUGGGAUAAGCCUGGGAAACCGGGUCUAAUACCGGAUAUGACUCCAUGACGCAUGUUGUGGGGUGGAAAGCCUUGUGCGGCUGAGGAUGGGCCCGCGGCCUAUCAGCUUGUUGGUGGGGUGAUGGCCUACCAAGGCGACGACGGGUAGCCGGCCUGAGAGGGCGACCGGCCACACUGGGACUGAGACACGGCCCAGACUCCUACGGGAGGCAGCAGUGGGGAAUCUUGCGCAAUGGGCGAAAGCCUGACGCAGCGACGCCGCGUGAGGGAUGACGGCCUGGUGUAAC
This 397-nucleotide ribosomal RNA is filed under the name uncultured bacterium. Its description in RNAcentral is "bacterial SSU rRNA". It matches the Rfam family "Bacterial small subunit ribosomal RNA", at positions 28 to 429 of the family's 1533-position model. The record is from RNAcentral.